Molecule: long non-coding RNA, 549 nt
Filed under: Rhinopithecus bieti (black snub-nosed monkey)
Lineage: Eukaryota; Metazoa; Chordata; Mammalia; Primates; Cercopithecidae
Description: lncRNA (ENSRBIG00000046575.1)
Source: RNAcentral
UCUUCAUGAAUUAUCUCACUUAAUUCUCACACCAGCCCGAUAAAAUAAUGAUUUUUAUUUUUCUCCAUUUUACAGACAGGGAGACUGAAACCAAGAAGAGUUAUGGAACUUCUGGAUAUUACACAGGCAGGGGGUGAGCCUGGAGCUCUGGCCCAGGCAGUCUGCCUCCAGCGGCUGUGCUUCCCACCACCCCUCCCAGCCAAGCCCUUUAAAAUGUGAGAAUAGAUUCUCUGAGGUGGAAGAAAGAGAUUGAAAAAGAAGAUAGGAUGAGAAGGAAGAUAGAAAGGACAAAUUGUGGAAUAGAUGCUCUGCUCUGGGCACUAAGGGUUGCAGAAAGAGAAUAAACCUUUGUUCACAUUGUCCACGUGUUAGAAAGACGUAUUCCUUGGGCCAUUUAAAACACCACCUGAAAAGUAGAAUCAAUAAUUACAGAUGCUUUGUAAAGAUGAGAAAGACUGUGGGAGGAUCAAAUUUCGAAUAGAGCUAAAACAUGUAAGGAACUCAAAGAACUCAAUAGCAAAAAAGCACAUAAUCUGAUUUUAAUAUGGG